Long non-coding RNA from Microplitis demolitor, 4341 nucleotides. RefSeq lists it as uncharacterized. Lineage: Eukaryota; Metazoa; Arthropoda; Insecta; Hymenoptera; Braconidae. The record is from RefSeq and is a predicted model, not a curated record. The transcript has 3 exons.
CAGAUUCUCUGUAAAAAAAUCGCGCCAAGUACACGUUCAACACUAUCUAUGAAUGGAAAAAAUGUACUUUACAAAAAGCUAUAAAAUCUUGAAAACACCAAGUAACUGGUAGCAUUGGAAAUCAUGAGAAAAAUCUGAAUCAAAAUAUAUAAUGAAAAAAAAUGAUCCGAAUGUACUUGGUGUGCGUCACGAUUUCAUUGAGUCAAGUAAUUCACUGCAAAUCCACUCUAUAAGUGUAUUAUUUUAACACACAUGGAGUGUAUCCCAUGUUUGUCAUAAGCAAACUAUAGUUUUUUUGUAGUCAUUUCCCUGUUUAGAAAAUCUCAUAGAAUCCAAUAGAUUCUUAUGCAUUCCUAUAGGGAUUUUAUAAGAAUGAAUGAGUUCUAUGAGAAGCGCUAUAGUUAAGUAUAGGGCCUUAUACAUACAGCUAUAAGAAUCUAUCGGAUUUUUUAAGCAGGGUUGAUACACGUUUAACGGUGUGUUAAAUUUCUAUAGCUUGCUUGCCGCAUUUCAAUGUUUUUCGGCAAGUGUGUAAAUUUUGACUACACGCUUUUGAUUUUACAGUCAAUUUCUAUGAUCGAUUCUGAAUUUUAGUAAACUGCAAAGAAAUGACGAUAACAAGAAAAUUUAUUGUUUAAACGCACACCAAGUACAUUCGGAUCAUUUUUUUUCAUUAUAUAUUUUGAUUCAGAUUUUUCUCAUGAUUUCCAAUGCUACCAGUUACUUGGUGUUUUCAAGAUUUUAUAGCUUUUUGUAAAGUACAUUUUUUCCAUUCAUAGAUAGUGUUGAACGUGUACUUGGCGCGAUUUUUUUACAGAGAAUCUGUUUUUGGUGGGAUUUCUCUUUUUUUUGUAAAGCAAAGCAACUUCAAAUAUUAUCUGAAAGUUACAUUGUUUUUUAUAUUUCUGAAUAAAAUCCUUUGAUACAAUAAUUAUAAAUUUUUUAAUAUUACGAAACAUUUACAUGAAAUAAUCUUAGCAACUAAGAAAUGUGAGUUUUUUUUCAUUUUGCCGUCCUAUAUCCACCGCAGAUUGAGGGAAAAUUUAAUUCAGAGUUGUCAGAAAAUUUUUGUCUGCGUCGCCCCAUCUACGAUCAAACGUAGUGUAAUAUUUUGUCAAGUCGUCAAAUCAUUUUUAAGUUUAAAAUCAUUCUAUUGGCUCACAGUUUAAUCAUUAUUAGACAAUAAUAGUACACUAUAAUUUACCGCAUAAAUUGAAAUUAACUUUUAAAAAAGUAUUAUUGUAAUGAUUUUUUUUUUCUUGUGAGAAAAUAGAGAAUAUUUUUAGGAAAAAUUCUUUUUAAGAACAAUGACCCCCACUAUUGUUUUACUUUUAAGCGCCACUUUUUUUUAAAAUAUAACACAUGCCAACUUAAAUAAACAUCAAUAAACUAAUCAAUCGAAUUCUUGACUUCUAUGGUAAUUUUUAGUUAUUAUACCAUUAUCGAGUUUAACAAAACUGUUGAGAUACACGAAAUUAUUUAGAUCGAGUUUGUUAUAAAAAUUGUGAUGUAAAUAAUUUAUUAGUAUUUUCAGUUGAUGGAAACAGUUAUAAUUAAUUUUUUAAUAUUGAAAAUACUUUCGUGAUGAUAACUCAUCAUUUAGUCAUACAAUAGGAUUGAAAUCCAAGUUCAGUUGAGCGGGUAAAUAAGGAUAGUUUAAAAUUACCACUUUGUAGUGGAUAAUGUCACUUGCCUGUGACUAACAACAUUAAAAAUAUAAAAAUAUUUUAGUUUGUUUCUGUUGGCCAAACUGAGUUCCUGGUAAACUUACCAUAUUAUCAGAUUUGCCGAGCAUACCCCCUAAUAGCACGAUUUGCUUUAGCAAAAGUUUCCUUGAAUUUUUUGUCAAAUGACCGUCAGUUUCAGACUUUUUCGUUUUUGAUGACAAUUGGUAUACAACUUGCCAUACAAUUUGACGUUAAAUUACCACCCGAAUUAGAAUGCAAAUUCACUUCAAAAGUUUUAUACAAAUUGUCUUCAAAAACAAAAAUGCCUGAAAUUGACCGACAUUUGACGAAAAAUUAAAGGAUUUUUUCGUAAAGUUGAACUUUUGCUAAGCAAACCGUGCUAAUUGGGUUUUGUUUCUAAUAAAAAAAAGUUACCUCUACAUUGGGGAAAAAUUAACCGCAAAUUUUACUAUUCAACUUUCGCUGUUAAACUGACAGCAAAGUCAGGCAGCGAAUUGCAGGUAAUUUCAUUGUCAAAUUAUUGUCAAUUUCAAGCUAAAGUAGCCAUUAGGGUAGUUAAUAGUUGACCCAAACUUGCUUAUUCAUUCGUCAUGGGUAAAAUAAUAUUACGCAUUAGGCCUCUUUGUUUGUGCAUACGAGGGUAAUGAAAGCGCUCUCUAGUGUUGAAAAAUCAAGACAGAUUUUAAAAACUUUAAUGUUGAGUCUAUGGAGACUAUAUAGUCUCCAUAGUUGAGUUAAUCAUGCUCCUUCUUGAAACUAUUUAUUCUAAGACGGUAAUAAAUAAGCAUAUAUUAUAGAUGGAAAAAAUUUCUGAAAUCUCAAUUUUUAAGGUACUAUAGUAUAUGCUAACGUUUUUUAUAUUUUAAAAGAUAAAUAAUAAUAAAAUGUGAUAAAAUUCAGUUGGUAAACUUUGAGUGAGACACAAAUAUUUCAGAAAAACCAGAAAUGAGCCGUGUUUUAGUUUUAAUAAAAAAAAAUGUAACUCAUAACCAUAAAACACCACUCCGACUCAAGAAAAGAGACAGGUAGGCUCGCGCUACACACUCACACAUAUACAUGUGUUUGACCGUGUACUUGGCGCGAGACACUACCGUGUCUCUGGAUAUAUUUCUAAUUAUAUUAUUAACAUAGCAAUUUUUUUAUGAGAAUUUUCCAUUUAGAAAUUAACUUUUACUGAUACGUGAAUAUAAUAAUGUAGACUUGGUAUUAAAUAAUGAGUGAUGCUAGGAUUUUGAACUACUAAUGAUAUAUGCAUAUCGCCUAUCUGGAAUUCGUUGCAUCUACAACAUAGAGAUUAUAAGAAUCUGGGAUUAAAUUAUUAUGACGAGUAAAUCUAUAUGUUGUCAAUGUAUAGAAAUAUUUGAAAUAAUGAUUUAAUCCGGGCUUUCUAUAAAUUUGGAUUGAUAAAUUGGCCCUAGAGUCAAUCAAUUGACAGAGCCAUGAGAAAUUCAAAUUUGCAUUUUUACGAUAGCGCCACAGUCGUUACUUGAUGAUUUGGAACUUUUCAGCGUCUCAAUAAGCGUCAUCACAACCAUUUUGUAGUUGCCAUUGAUGAAUGUACCUGCUCGAAGUGAAUUUAGUGAUUUAAAUUAAUAAUAUUCAAUAUGAUUAAAUAUUUAUUAGUCAAAGAUAAAAAGCAACAAUAUUGCGUCCAUAUAAAACGCCACGUAAUAAUUGAUAAAAGAAGAGAUGACAUUUGUAACAAAAAAAUUCGAAUUAUGGGACAAAACAUUAAGUACCAAUAAGUCAUUUUUAUUUCGAAAAAAUUAAUUAAUGGAAUAAAAUUAAAUAAUUGAAGAUUGUCACAAUCGCAAACAUCUAAAAAUUUUUUCUUUAUAUGCAUAAUUUCUAUAAAUCGGAAAGUUUUUUUUUACGAAAUUGCAAUUAAUUUUAAAUAAUUCAUUAUUUUCAAUGAAUCCCUUGGUUUUCUAUUCUAUUAAUUUGGGUCUUGUUAUAUAUUUUCAGCGAAUCGGAUUAUUUUAAUUGAUAUAUGCAAUAAAUUAAAUACAAAUCAGCCUCAAAUAAACUUAUUAAGACGCAUACAAAUUUAUUACACUUUUUCAUUCAAAACCGGACAAUGGAGUGUCGAAAGGGAAUAAACCUAUAAUGAUAUCUAAUAUACGUAUUGAACCCAUUGAUUUAAAUAAAUUAAAAAGUGUCCGGUUUACUGAUCCAAAAAUAAGAAACAUCAGACCUUCAGACAUAGGAAAGGACUCGCGCGCAGGAGAUCAGGGUUCGAAUCUCGGUUGAAACAAGUGUUUUUUUAAAAAAUAAAAAUCAACACAAACACCAAUGCAGAUGACAUAAGUCACAAUAAUAAUCAAAAUAAUAAUAAAAAGUUAAAAGCUAAUAAAAAUUUAAUUUAAUUUUUUCCCAUUCUAAUAUAGUAAAACUUACUAAACGGAAUAGUAAAGUUUACUAAACGGGAUAGUAAAAUUUACUAAACAGGGAUAGUAAAAUUUACUAAAUAUAACUAGAAAUUUAGAUGCAAUAUACUAAAUUUUCCAUAACCAGUAUAUGCGAAAUUACUAAAUGACUUGUAAAAUAUGCUAAUCUUACGAAUUUUUCCUAUAAAUCAUAAGCGUUUCAAAAUUACUUUCCAGGUUUAGUAAUUUUUCUCAUAUUUUAUAGUAAAAUUUACUAUAUUUUUUUC